UGGGGAAUAUUGGACAAUGGGCGAAAGCCUGAUCCAGCCAUGCCGCGUGUGUGAAGAAGGUCUUCGGAUUGUAAAGCACUUUAAGUUGGGAGUAAGGGCAGUAAGCGAAUACCUUGCUGUUUUGACGUUACCGACAGAAUAAGCACCGGCUAACUCUGUGCCAGCAGCCGCGGUAAUACAGAGGGUGCAAGCGUUAAUCGGAAUUACUGGGCGUAAAGCGCGCGUAGGUGGUUCGUUAAGUUGGAUGUGAAAGCCCCGGGCUCAACCUGGGAACUGCAUCCAAAACUGGCGAGCUAGAGUAGGGCAGAGGGUGGUGGAAUUUCCUGUGUAGCGGUGAAAUGCGUAGAUAUAGAAAGGAACACCAGUGGCGAAGGCGACCACCUGGGCUCAUACUGACACUGAGGUGCGAAAGCGUGGGGAGCAAACAGG
This 429-nucleotide ribosomal RNA is filed under the name Acidobacteriota bacterium. Its description in RNAcentral is "Acidobacteria bacterium partial 16S ribosomal RNA". It matches the Rfam family "Bacterial small subunit ribosomal RNA", at positions 355 to 776 of the family's 1533-position model. The record is from RNAcentral. Lineage: Bacteria; Pseudomonadati; Acidobacteriota.